GCGCCACGCUCCACGGAGGCGCCAAGCAGAAGGCCUGGGAAGGGAAGAGUGAGCCUUCCCUGGUGGAGGGGCCACUCCUCAGGCAGUGGGGAGACCGCCUUUUGCAUGCAACAGGACUUACCAGUUACUAUUGGCACCGGAACCACCAUCUGAGAUACAGGAGAAGACAGAAAUGGAAGCAAAGGAAGAUGGAAAAAUAGAAAACAGAGACCCCCAAGAGGUUGAACAGCUUGCUGAGAAUCAUGACCAGUUGGGAGGCCAGUUCUGACACCAGAGGUCCUGACGGCCAGGCCAGCACUGUUUUCUGUAGACAUGGUAUCUUCUAAAAGGCAUUUAUCAUUUUUUUUCCUUUCAGAAUUAAAUGAAGACUAAACUCCUGUACACGUGUUUGUUGGUAGAGGUCAUCACAGAAUAUGGCCACCAUACUGUGAUCUGCCAACCCAAUUAAGAUACUGGCCAUGGCUUCUAAUUUGUGUUUUACACUGUUCAGAGAUAAAUAUUUAAAAUUUGUUGCAUUGCAAUCUGUUUGGUUGUAAAGAUUUGACCUAUGAAGCAAGAAGUGUUCAUGAAUGAGGUUUAAGGAUGUCAGGGGUGACUCAGAAGGAAACGCGCUAGAACAGCAAGGAUCAGGGAAGCAGCGCUUUUCUCUUUGCAAGUCAUAAAAUACAAUGCCUGAAAGAGCUAAUAAGCCUUGUUAUCUAAUCAUGUCUAAUA
Molecule: non-coding RNA, 714 nt
Filed under: Pan troglodytes (chimpanzee)
Lineage: Eukaryota; Metazoa; Chordata; Mammalia; Primates; Hominidae
Source: RNAcentral